Long non-coding RNA from Cornus florida, 829 nucleotides. RefSeq lists it as uncharacterized. Lineage: Eukaryota; Viridiplantae; Streptophyta; Magnoliopsida; Cornales; Cornaceae. The transcript is spliced from 5 exons. The record is from RefSeq and is a predicted model, not a curated record.
ACCUUUUAUCACCAAAACCAAAACAUAAGAAAAUAAAAAUCUCCUAUGUUUUUCAAAUGAGAGGUUGAACUUUUAAAGCAAGUACUUUUCACGCUUAUUUAAAACACUUGCAGUAUAUUAUUAAUCUUACAAAAAAUGCCCUUUGACAUAGUUUUAGUAUUAUAUUUGAUAAUAGUUUUACUCUCUUUUUUCCCAAAAGUAAUAAUAUAAAUGGUCUCUAAGAAGCAAACAAAUUACUCAAAUUUUCAAUGUAAACCUACUAAUUAAUCAGAUGAUUAGAGAGAGAGUGGGUGAGAGGGUAGUUGUCAACAUCGUUGAUAUUUGGAGAACGAGGUAGCUGAGAUUUGGCUACGUACGUCAUUAAUGGCAACACUACCUCUAUCCUUUAAAGCUGAAGGAAUUAAAGGCAAUAAAGGCGCCUAAUAUUACUCCUAAUCACUCCUCCCUCACAAACUCUCCACUGCCAACAAGAAAGAAUCGUCCAAGAUUUGCGUUUUACUGAAGAUUUGACCGUAGGCGUAAAGUUUUCAUCAUCCGAAGUACUAUUGUUUCAGAUUUGCGUUUUACUGAAGAUUUGACCGUAGGCGUAAAGUUUUCAUCAUCCGAAGAUUUGCGUUUUACUGAAGAUUUGACCGUAGGUGUAAAGUUUUCAUCAUCCGAAGUUAAGCCCCAUAUCGAAACAGGGAGGAUGGCAGGAACAGGAAGUAGUGGCCUGGGGCGACAGGCACAGGGAGAAGUGGAUGCUGAUCAUGCUGAGAUAGGGCGAUUCGAAGAAAAAUAUAACAAACUUAAGAUGGAGAAUGGAUUGCUAUUUUUUUUUUUUUUUUUU